RNAcentral lists this long non-coding RNA (238 nucleotides) under Lathyrus oleraceus (garden pea). Its description in RNAcentral is "Pisum sativum (pea) long non-coding RNA (PSAT_LNC036823)". Lineage: Eukaryota; Viridiplantae; Streptophyta; Magnoliopsida; Fabales; Fabaceae. The record is from RNAcentral.
AUAGCUUCAGUGAAUGGAAUCUCAACGUGGACUUUCUCAAUCACUUUUACGAACUUUUUGUAUUGGUUAUCUAAUUUGGUUUGUUUUAGUCUUUGUGGAUAUGGAAUUGGUGGUUUAUAAGGAGGGGUUGGUACAUAUACUUUUUUAUCCUUCACUCCUUCCUUAUCUUUAGCUUCUUCAUCUCUUUGUUUCUCAGGCUCUAUUAGUUCCUCUACUUGUUUCUCAGGUGUAGUCACAA